Favolaschia claudopus is the source of this 95-nucleotide non-coding RNA. The record is from the annotation of a GenBank genome assembly. Lineage: Eukaryota; Fungi; Basidiomycota; Agaricomycetes; Agaricales; Mycenaceae.
UGGCCCGUGGUCCAACGGUACGAUAUCUCUGCUCCCUGCUCCAUGUCGCUGGUUGUAUGUUGGAGAAGAUGUGGGUUCAAUUCCCGCCGGGUCGC